Molecule: long non-coding RNA, 285 nt
Filed under: Lathyrus oleraceus (garden pea)
Lineage: Eukaryota; Viridiplantae; Streptophyta; Magnoliopsida; Fabales; Fabaceae
Description: Pisum sativum (pea) long non-coding RNA (PSAT_LNC002302)
Source: RNAcentral
ACAGACCAUACGCGUAUGGGCAGAAAUACCCAAUUUUUCAAAUCUGAUACGCGUAUGGGACAACUUAUACGCGUAUAGGAAAUUCAAAUCAACCUUUUGUACAUUCAUGAAAGUUUUAGUCCUUGACUUUAGGUUUCAUUUUCUGCCAGUACCACAUCAUCACGAGUUACGACAUUCUAGAUAUGAUUAAAAUACUACACGCCUAUCAUGUUGUGAAAUGUGCUGAAAACAGACUUUGUGAAUCUUUCUCAAAAUUCAUCGUGUUUCUUUUUCGACCAUUUCUUU